GUAUAAAAUGAGAAUUUUUAAAUAACAGAAGAAAAAUAUUGAGAAAGGUUUUACUUAAAAGAUGUCUAUGGAAAAGUAUGUUAUUGUUGCCUUCUUGGAGGAGGAUGAUGCAGUUGCAGUUGUGCCUGCAGCUUGGCUGAUCAACAGCGAGUUGUGUUAUUGGCCUCCAUAUACCA
This is a non-coding RNA of Hydra vulgaris (swiftwater hydra), 176 nucleotides long. NCBI's taxonomy places the organism in Eukaryota, Metazoa, Cnidaria, Hydrozoa, Anthoathecata, Hydridae. The record is from RefSeq and is a predicted model, not a curated record.